GAUGAACGCUAGCGGCAGGCCUAAUACAUGCAAGUCGAACGGGAUCCAGAUCAAAGCUUGCUUUGGUCUGGUGAGAGUGGCGCACGGGUGCGUAACGCGUGAGCAACCUACCCUUGUCAGGGGGAUAGCCCGGCGAAAGUCGGAUUAAUACCGCAUGACAUCAUUGAGAGGCAUCUUUCGAUGAUCAAAGAUUUAUCGGACAAGGAUGGGCUCGCCUGACAUUAGCUAGUUGGUAAGGUAACGGCUUACCAAGGCUGCGAUGUCUAGGGGCUCUGAGAGGAGAAUCCCCCACACUGGUACUGAGACACGGACCAGACUCCUACGGGAGGCAGCAGUAAGGAAUAUUGGUCAAUGGACGGAAGUCUGAACCAGCCAUGCCGCGUGCAGGAAGACGGCCCUAUGGGUUGUAAACUGCUUUUAUACGGGAACAAACGUCGGUACGUGUACCGGUCUGAGUGUACCGUAAGAAUAAGGAUCGGCUAACUCCGUG
Molecule: ribosomal RNA, 490 nt
Filed under: uncultured bacterium
Lineage: Bacteria
Description: partial 16S ribosomal RNA
Rfam family: Bacterial small subunit ribosomal RNA
Source: RNAcentral